CAUGCAGGCGGUUAUACAAGUAGGAUGUGAAAGCCUGGGGCUCAACCUCAGAACUGCGUUCUAAACUGUGUGACUAGAGUAUUGCAGGGGGAGACGGAAUUUCAGGUGUAGCGGUGGAAUGCGUAGAUAUCUGAAAGAACACCAAAGGCGAAGGCAGUCUCCUGGGCAAAUACUGACGCUCAUAUGCGAAAGCGUGGGUAGCAAACA
Molecule: ribosomal RNA, 207 nt
Filed under: uncultured bacterium
Lineage: Bacteria
Description: partial 16S ribosomal RNA
Rfam family: Bacterial small subunit ribosomal RNA
Source: RNAcentral